GCUGGCAUGGUCUAAUGGUUAUGAUUUCUCGUUAACAUUCAUGUUAAUAACACCCGAGAAGGUUCCGCGUUCGAUCCGCGGUGCUAGUA
Molecule: non-coding RNA, 89 nt
Organism: Diatrype stigma
Lineage: Eukaryota; Fungi; Ascomycota; Sordariomycetes; Xylariales; Diatrypaceae
Source: the annotation of a GenBank genome assembly